GCUAACUUUGGGCCAUAAGGCGCGGUAAUACAGGGGGUGCGAGCGUUAAUCGGAUUUACUGGGCGUAAAGCGCGCGUAGGUUGCUAAUUAAGUCAAAUGGGAAAUCCCCGAGCUUAACUUGGGAAUUGCAUUCGAUACGGGUUGGCUAGAGUAUGGGAGAGGAUGGUAGAAUUCCAGGUGUAGCGGUGAAAUGCGUAGAGAUCUGGAGGAAUACCGAUGGCGAAGGCAGCCAUCUGGCCUAAUACUGACACUGAGGUGCGAAAGCAUGGGGAGCAAACAGGAUUAGAUACCCGGGUAGUC
Molecule: ribosomal RNA, 300 nt
Filed under: uncultured Rubritalea sp.
Lineage: Bacteria; Pseudomonadati; Verrucomicrobiota; Verrucomicrobiia; Verrucomicrobiales; Rubritaleaceae
Description: bacterial SSU rRNA
Rfam family: Bacterial small subunit ribosomal RNA
Source: RNAcentral